GCCCCUGGCUCUCUGACCCUGUGAGGACUUGAGUGAAGGUUACGAGUCUUCACACUGCCUGCUGACAGUACUAGGAGCGGGGAUUUGAGAUCUUCACUUCAGUGUGUCCUUUUGACAGUAAAUCCAUUGCUCACCUCUCAAAUCUGGGAUUGGCCCCAAUCAAUCAGCCACUCUGCAGUCACCACCAGGGGCUCUCUGGAAGACACCAGGAGAGAUGAGUCCCCCAACUCCACAGGCUGUCAUCAGCCACCAGCAACCUCCGUCUCAGAGAAGAGCAGGAAGAGGGGAGACAUUUCCAAAAGACCCAGCAUUUUACCUUACAAGACUGAGCGUAUCCUAAAGGUGACACCGACAUGAUUCUGUCAGGCUGAAUUCACUGAGCCCAGUUAAGGAAUCUGAAGAUGAAAAAGAUGAGGGGACAUUCCCAAAGUCGCACAGCCCUCAAGCCAGUGCGAAAAUGUGGACCCCGCUGCCUUGUCUGGUGCCCAUUUCUGGAGAGAGAAAAGCACCGCUGGGUCGUGGGGGAGACUGGCCGGUGGCAGCUUCUGGCAUCUCACCUGUCUCUGCACGGGUUAAGAGCAUGGGAUGUAAUGAAAUGAAUCGUCUGUUGGAGGCUAUUCAUUAAUUCCUCCCUGCCUCUCCCUGUGAGACCUGUAAGUCCAUGGGUAGGAAGGACGGGCCUUCUUAGAGUAAGAAGCGUCUCCCCCUGUCUUCGCCUCCCGUCCCUUCUCUUCCCUCCUUCCUUGCCCCCCAACCCCGCCACCUUCUUCCUUCCCUUCCUUCCAGUAUUCAUUGCUUAACUGCACUGUGACAGGAAAUGUUACUGGGGGCCAAUUAAUGAAAAAAAGUCAAGCUUUUAAAGAAUUAAAGUUAGUGUUAUUCAGAGAUCUUAGGCUGAGGCCAGGUGUGGUGGCUCAAGCCUGUAAUCCCAACACUUUGGGAGGCCAAAGCAGGUGGAUCCUUUGAGGCCAGGAGAUUGAAAUCAGCCUGGGCAAUAUGGUGAAACCGCAACUCUACAAAAAAUACAAAAAUUGUCUGGGCAUGGUGGUGCAUGCCUGUAGUCCCAGCUACUCAGGAGGCCGAGGUGGGGGGAUUGCUUGAGCCCAGGAGUUCAAGGGUGCAGUGAGCUGUGAUUGUGCCACUGCACUCCAGCCUGGGUGACAGAGUGAAACCCUAUCUCAAAACCACCCCCCAAAAAACCCAAAACCAAAAAACAAAGGUGUUAGGCCAAGCAUGGUGGCUUACAUCUGUAAUCCCAGCACUUUGGGAGGCUGAGGCAGGAGGAUCACUUGAGCCCAGGAGUUCAAGACUAGCCUGGGCAACAUAGCAAGACCC
This 1335-nucleotide long non-coding RNA is filed under the name Homo sapiens (human). RNAcentral describes it as "HSALNT0198803". The stretch from base 1035 to 1182 matches the Rfam family "Metazoan signal recognition particle RNA". The record is from RNAcentral. Lineage: Eukaryota; Metazoa; Chordata; Mammalia; Primates; Hominidae.